UAUAUGUAGUUGCGAUUACUCUAUACAUGUUUCUAGCCAAUUAUUUUGCGCAGGAUGUCACGGAUCAUAAUAAUGACAUCUUUGCUACUGUAUGUGACGUUCAAUGGUAUGCAGUUCCGUUACAUAUACAAAAACUGAUAUUAUUUCUGCUGCAAAGAAGUUCCAAAGAUUUUACUUUAUGUAUCGGUGGAUUAUUUGUUGCAUCUUUGGAAUGUUUUGCCACGCUAUUGAAAACUUCAUUUUCU
Camponotus floridanus (Florida carpenter ant) is the source of this 245-nucleotide long non-coding RNA. RefSeq lists it as uncharacterized. The record is from RefSeq and is a predicted model, not a curated record. Lineage: Eukaryota; Metazoa; Arthropoda; Insecta; Hymenoptera; Formicidae. The transcript is spliced from 3 exons.